GACGAACGCUGGCGGCGUGCUUAACACAUGCAAGUCGAACGGAAAGGCCCUUCGGGGUACUCGAGUGGCGAACGGGUGAGUAACACGUGGGUGAUCUGCCCUGCACUUUGGGAUAAGCCUGGGAAACUGGGUCUAAUACCGAAUAGGACCGCAUGCUUCAUGGUGUGUGGUGGAAAGCUUUUGCGGUGUGGGAUGGGCCCGCGGCCUAUCAGCUUGUUGGUGGGGUAGUGGCCUACCAAGGCGACGACGGGUAGCCGGCCUGAGAGGGUGACCGGCCACGCUGGGACUGAGAUACGGCCCAGACUCCUACGGGAGGCAGCAGUGGGGAAUAUUGCACAAUGGGCGCAAGCCUGAUGCAGCGACGCCGCGUGAGGGAUGACGGCCUUCGGGUUGUAAACCUCUUUCAGCAGGGACGAAGCGCAAGUGACGGUACCUGCAGAAGAAGGACCGGCCAACUACGUGCCAGCCGCCGCCGUAA
This 478-nucleotide ribosomal RNA is filed under the name uncultured bacterium. RNAcentral describes it as "partial 16S ribosomal RNA". It matches the Rfam family "Bacterial small subunit ribosomal RNA", at positions 28 to 523 of the family's 1533-position model. The record is from RNAcentral.